Penaeus vannamei (Pacific white shrimp) is the source of this 336-nucleotide non-coding RNA. The record is from RefSeq and is a predicted model, not a curated record. Lineage: Eukaryota; Metazoa; Arthropoda; Malacostraca; Decapoda; Penaeidae.
CAACAAUAACACCACAAGCCAACUUACGCAGUUGCCAUACAAUGCUCUGUCAUUAGUUCGCGAUUCAUACAGGAAACAGUUACAGAUUUGUUAAUAAGUGAAUCAGGAUAUCCAACUGUCAAAAGAUGAGGACGGCGGUGCUGGCCCUGACGCUGGCGCUGAUGGGCGUGGCGUGGGCGGAGUUGGCUCCACCCGAGAGAUCCUACAAGAUCCUGAUGCUGUUGCCAGUAUCCUCGAAGAGCCACAGGAAUGUCUUCUUGCCGGUCGCCGAGGCUUUAGCCGAUCGAGGACACAAGAUUGUGAUGCUGGUCAACCCACCACCGGCGUCGAAGCACC